RNAcentral lists this ribosomal RNA (194 nucleotides) under uncultured Terriglobales bacterium. RNAcentral's name for it is "uncultured Acidobacteriales bacterium partial 16S ribosomal RNA". It matches the Rfam family "Bacterial small subunit ribosomal RNA", at positions 338 to 524 of the family's 1533-position model. The record is from RNAcentral. Lineage: Bacteria; Pseudomonadati; Acidobacteriota; Terriglobia; Terriglobales.
CCUACGGGAGGCAGCAGUGGGGAAUUUUGGACAAUGGGCGCAAGCCUGAUCCAGCAACGCCGCGUGGAGGACGAAGGUCUUCGGAUCGUAAACUCCUGUCAGACGGGACGAAGGGUUCAGGGUAAAUAAUCCUGGAUCUUGACGGUACCGUCAGAGGAAGCCCCGGCUAACUCCGUGCCAGCAGCCGCGGUAAU